This is a long non-coding RNA of Patella vulgata (common limpet), 349 nucleotides long. RefSeq lists it as uncharacterized. The record is from RefSeq and is a predicted model, not a curated record. Lineage: Eukaryota; Metazoa; Mollusca; Gastropoda; Patellidae. The transcript is spliced from 3 exons.
GAUUACAUCAUGUGGCGAGGCGGGGUGCUUUUCGGACUAUUCUGUCUGAUAUCUCGAGCCCCAGGACAAUUGUCUCCAGUCAGUGAAAUACCUUCUUCCCAGGCCGGUGACAAAAUCAAUAUCGAUGAUGGCACACAUAUUAUGUCUUUGACUAUGUGCUUAGCUCAACUAUCUUGUAUGAACGACAGGUAUACUCUACGAGACGUUUCACCAGUACGUUUAGAACCGGAAUCAAGAUUGAUUCGACCAGCUGUACACAUGUCGUCUUGUCCGAACUCUGGUCGUUUGUUCCGUACAGCUGAUGGCUCCUGUAACAACAUCCAACGACCCUCAUGGGGACAAUCAUUGG